AUGCCACAGCUCACGGCAAUGCGGAUCCCUGACCCACUGAGUGAGGCCAGUGGUGGAACCUGCAUCUUCAUGGAUACUAGUCAGAUUUGUUUUUGCUGUGCCACAAUAGGAACUCCAAUAAUACCAUCUGAGCCUAAGUGGAAGCACUUUUGUCUGGAAAAACUGGAGCCCAGAAGGAUGAGAGAAAGAACCUGUUCCCUCCUAUCAAAACAUAUACAAACAAUAUUCCUGGACCAGGAGUCAAACUGA
Molecule: long non-coding RNA, 249 nt
Filed under: Sus scrofa (pig)
Lineage: Eukaryota; Metazoa; Chordata; Mammalia; Artiodactyla; Suidae
Description: lncRNA (ENSSSCG00060058401.1)
Source: RNAcentral